RNAcentral lists this ribosomal RNA (984 nucleotides) under Staphylococcus aureus. RNAcentral's name for it is "partial 23S ribosomal RNA". It matches the Rfam family "Bacterial large subunit ribosomal RNA", at positions 1 to 981 of the family's 2925-position model. Lineage: Bacteria; Bacillati; Bacillota; Bacilli; Caryophanales; Staphylococcaceae. The record is from RNAcentral.
GAUUAAGUUAUUAAGGGCGCACGGUGGAUGCCUUGGCACUAGAAGCCGAUGAAGGACGUUACUAACGACGAUAUGCUUUGGGGAGCUGUAAGUAAGCUUUGAUCCAGAGAUUUCCGAAUGGGGAAACCCAGCAUGAGUUAUGUCAUGUUAUCGAUAUGUGAAUACAUAGCAUAUCAGAAGGCACACCCGGAGAACUGAAACAUCUUAGUACCCGGAGGAAGAGAAAGAAAAUUCGAUUCCCUUAGUAGCGGCGAGCGAAACGGGAAGAGCCCAAACCAACAAGCUUGCUUGUUGGGGUUGUAGGACACUCUAUACGGAGUUACAAAGGACGACAUUAGACGAAUCAUCUGGAAAGAUGAAUCAAAGAAGGUAAUAAUCCUGUAGUCGAAAAUGUUGUCUCUCUUGAGUGGAUCCUGAGUACGACGGAGCACGUGAAAUUCCGUCGGAAUCUGGGAGGACCAUCUCCUAAGGCUAAAUACUCUCUAGUGACCGAUAGUGAACCAGUACCGUGAGGGAAAGGUGAAAAGCACCCCGGAAGGGGAGUGAAAUAGAACCUGAAACCGUGUGCUUACAAGUAGUCAGAGCCCGUUAAUGGGUGAUGGCGUGCCUUUUGUAGAAUGAACCGGCGAGUUACGAUUUGAUGCAAGGUUAAGCAGUAAAUGUGGAGCCGUAGCGAAAGCGAGUCUGAAUAGGGCGUUUAGUAUUUGGUCGUAGACCCGAAACCAGGUGAUCUACCCUUGGUCAGGUUGAAGUUCAGGUAACACUGAAUGGAGGACCGAACCGACUUACGUUGAAAAGUGAGCGGAUGAACUGAGGGUAGCGGAGAAAUUCCAAUCGAACCUGGAGAUAGCUGGUUCUCUCCGAAAUAGCUUUAGGGCUAGCCUCAAGUGAUGAUUAUUGGAGGUAGAGCACUGUUUGGACGAGGGGCCCCUCUCGGGUUACCGAAUUCAGACAAACUCCGAAUGCCAAUUAAUUUAACUUGGG